Molecule: ribosomal RNA, 742 nt
Filed under: uncultured bacterium
Lineage: Bacteria
Description: bacterial SSU rRNA
Rfam family: Bacterial small subunit ribosomal RNA
Source: RNAcentral
UAGAGUUUGAUCCUGGCUCAGAUUGAACGCUGGCGGCAGGCCUAACACAUGCAAGUCGAGCGGAUGAGGGGAGCUUGCUCCCUGAUUUAGCGGCGGACGGGUGAGUAAUGCCUAGGAAUCUGCCUGGUAGUGGGGGAUAACGUUCCGAAAGGAACGCUAAUACCGCAUACGUCCUACGGGAGAAAGCAGGGGACCUUCGGGCCUUGCGCUAUCAGAUGAGCCUAGGUCGGAUUAGCUAGUUGGUGAGGUAAUGGCUCACCAAGGCGACGAUCCGUAGCUGGUCUGAGAGGAUGAUCAGUCACACUGGAACUGAGACACGGUCCAGACUCCUACGGGAGGCAGCAGUGGGGAAUAUUGGACAAUGGGCGAAAGCCUGAUCCAGCCAUGCCGCGUGUGUGAAGAAGGUCUUCGGAUUGUAAAGCACUUUAAGUUGGGAGGAAGGGCAUUAACCUAAUACGUUAGUGUUUUGACGUUACCAACAGAAUAAGCACCGGCUAACUUCGUGCCAGCAGCCGCGGUAAUACGAAGGGUGCAAGCGUUAAUCGGAAUUACUGGGCGUAAAGCGCGCGUAGGUGGUUCGUUAAGUUGGAUGUGAAAGCCCCGGGCUCAACCUGGGAACUGCAUCCAAAACUGGCGAGCUAGAGUACGGUAGAGGGUGGUGGAAUUUCCUGUGUAGCGGUGAAAUGCGUAGAUAUAGGAAGGAACACCCAGUGGCGAAGGCGACCCACCCUGGACUGAUACU